ACGUAGGUGGCGAGCGUUGUCCGGAUUUACUGGGCGUAAAGGGAGCGUAGGCGGACUUUUAAGUGAGAUGUGAAAUACACGGGCUCAACUUGGGUGCUGCAUUUCAAACUGGAAGUCUAGAGUGCAGAAGAGGAAGAUGGAAUUCCUAGUGUAGCGGUGAAAUGCGUAGAUAUUAGGAAGAACACCAAUGGCGAAGGCAGUUCUCUGGACUGUAACUGACGCUGAGGCUCGAAAGUGUGGGGAGCAAACAG
Molecule: ribosomal RNA, 251 nt
Filed under: uncultured prokaryote
Description: partial 16S rRNA
Rfam family: Bacterial small subunit ribosomal RNA
Source: RNAcentral